CCAGUGGGGAAUCUUGUGCAAUGGACGAAAGUCUGACACAGCCACGCCGCGUGCGGGAAGAAGGCCUUCGGGUUGUAAACCGCUUUCAGCAGGAACGAAAAUGACGGUACCUGCAGAAGAAGGAGCGGCCAACUACGUGCCAGCAGCCGCGGUGACACGUAGGCUCCAAGCGUUGUCCGGAUUUAUUGGGCGUAAAGAGCUCGUAGGCGGUUCAGCAAGUCGGGUGUGAAAACUCUGGGCUCAACCCAGAGCCUGCACCCGAAACUGCUGUGACUAGAGUUCGGUAGGGGAGUGGGGAAUUCCUAGUGUAGCGGUGAAAUGCGCAGAUAUUAGGAGGAACACCGAUGGCGAAGGCACCACUCUGGGCCGAAACUGACGCUGAGGAGCGAAAGCGUGGGUAGCAAACAGGAUUA
This 413-nucleotide ribosomal RNA is filed under the name actinobacterium SCGC AAA027-I20. Its description in RNAcentral is "bacterial SSU rRNA". It matches the Rfam family "Bacterial small subunit ribosomal RNA", at positions 351 to 780 of the family's 1533-position model. Lineage: Bacteria; Bacillati; Actinomycetota; Actinomycetes. The record is from RNAcentral.